This 7811-nucleotide long non-coding RNA is filed under the name Sus scrofa (pig). RNAcentral describes it as "lncRNA (ENSSSCG00015022814.1)". The record is from RNAcentral. Lineage: Eukaryota; Metazoa; Chordata; Mammalia; Artiodactyla; Suidae.
CUUUUUUUUUUUUUUUUUUUUUUUUUUCCAGCAUCCUCUUCUACACUUACUGGAAAAUAAGACCAAACUACAAACCUCAUUCUGGAGGGCUCACCAGUUUUAACUUGCCUGGUUCAGAUGGUAAGUUUCUUGAGGGCACAGAAAAGGAAGUGUUUAGGUUGUACUGAGGGUCUUUCUGCAGAAAGGACCUCGCAUUUGUGCAUCAGUGUGGACACUGCAUGGGGCAGUGUGGGAUCAGGGAAAUGUGUACUGGACCAGGGGGCCAGCAUCUCCAGUCUAGCCUGGGCUCUGCUACAAAGUAAGUACUAUGCGGCCUAGGUCAACUCACUGUGCUUUCUGGCCUCAGCUUCUCCAACUGUAAAAUAAAGGCUGGAUGAGAAGAUCUUCCACAUCCCUUCCUGUAGUGCAGUGAAGACACCCUGUGGCUCCAUAACCCACACCUGUGCCUUUCUCUGAUGCUACCAUCUUCUCUCCAUGCCAGGCCUGGAUCCCUCUCCUACACAGGUCUAUUGCAGAGUCACAGGCUUACAUUAUCUUGGCUUAAGCCAGGAAGGCCCAUACUCCCCAAAUUAAACAACCUGCCUACUUUAAGACAUGCUUUAAGGUGAAACUGACUGACUCUGUUAUACUGCGAAAGGUCACACAUUUUAGAAAUUCAGAAACGAGAGGGCCUUCAGCCAGGUCUCAUCCAGCGGGCUCAUUUUGACUAAGCCAAUGUCCCACCCCUAAACGGCUGUCUGGGACGCCUCUCACAAGUCGUGGGGGUGGAGGUGGGAGUGUGGGACCCAGGUCUUUGGUCAGAGGGUUGGGAUCAUAAGCCAGUGAGGAGGUUGGAGCUUCCCUGUAUGGUGCUUCUUAGUCUUAGGUAGGCUGACGUCCAGUCUUCCCCUUACUUUCCCUGCUGGUCCCUUCCCUGGCUGUUCUUUCCUCCUUGGGCUUCCAGCAGAAAGCGAGCACCUUGUAUGCAGUAGUAUCCUAGCAUCCAGCACUGUGCCUCCUCAAUCAGAAAACGUGCCUAAUGAAUGUCAACUGAAAGAAGCAGCAAAGAAGAGCUCAGACCCAGCCCCGGUGCCUGAAGGGAGGCUGUGCACAUUGGUAGGUUUACGGCACUCAUUUACAACCUUUACGACAUCUCUGGACACUUGGUGAGUGCCCAGCGCUGUGCUCAGCUCCUCACUCACCUCCCUUCCUGUGGUCCCAAGACAACCCCAGGAUAUUUAGGUUGUGUUAUCCCCACGGGGAAACUGAGACCUGGACUGUAAAGCCGCUUGCUCACCUCACACAGCUAACGCAGGAUGUGCACCCAGGCAGCGACUCCAGAGACUUCUGUCCUACGAUAUAAAUGUUGAACUUAUCUGUGUCGGCAUCUUAGUUUCUUCAAGGAAGUCCUUAGAGUGAAAGCCAGUGAGGCCCUUUCCCAGUCAUGGCUGUCUCAAUAUUUCUCUGAGUUGUAUCCAAAUGACAGCAUACUGGGGCUGCUAAACUUUUCACUGUCUUCACUGGCCUAUCUGAAUGCAAAACACAAGAAAGGGAAGAUCGCAUUUGGUGUUCUGCAUAAUUUUCUCCUGAACUUCUAAACCCAUACCCAGGGGUAACCUUUCCAACAUGCCUGGCAGAUGGUCAUCCAGCCUCUAGUGAUAGCCAUGUCCCCCUGGCCAGCUCUCAUCCUCAGCAAGGCUGGCCUUCUAUGAGUGGAAACUCGCCUCUUUCUACUGUUCCCUCCUAAGUCCCAGGUGGCCCACCAGCUAAAUAUUAACCAAACACAAAAAGAAAAGAAAGCCAUUUACUGGGUCUUCCAGGUGAUUUUAAUUGCAGGUAAUAAACCAUUGUUAAAAAGAAGGUUUAUAAAAAGAAAGCACGAACUAGCUUAGGGUGUUUGCAGUGGAACAGUGAAAUGAUUUUGUAAAUGCCAUCUUCUCUAAUAAAUCUGAAUGCUGCUGGAGAGAUUAGGCCAUUAUCCAGCGCUGGCAUAAAUGAGAAAAUGAUAUGAUGGAUCACAUGCUUGAGGGGUUUUAGGAGUUAGCUGGAGAUGGGGCAGGAUGACGCUAGUUAGCAAUGGCAGUUGGCCAAUCAAAUCAUAUUGCCCAAAAUCUAGUUUAGGGCCAGUUCUGUUAUUCUGACUAUAACUGGUGCUUUCCAAUAUUCAUGCCAGGAAGUCACAGUAGAAAUUUUUGCCUAAAUUAAGAAGGGUUUUCUUAAAGCCAAAGACCUAGAUCAUGGAUCAAUGUGAUUGCAUCACAAUGAGGCAAAGCUGAGUUGGAGGAACAGAAGAAUCCCUUAAAAUCAGAUGACUGGAAAGCCUGGCACAGUAGCCAGGGUUUUCCAAGGUACUUAUCAAGCACCUAACUGCACAUGGCAUUGCUGAGAACUGCCCUGAACAGGGUUGAACACACAUGUCCAAAUGCAUUCAGUAGCAGCAGUUCUCAAGCUGUGGGCCACAGAGACUCUGGGUGGCCAGGGAGAAUGAUUUACACCAAGUCCAAAAUCCACAUCUCCAAUGUGCUGCCUGUGGACAGAAUGAAUCAUUUUUAUUGCAUGUAUGCACCAUUAUCUUUCAAAUAUAUGCAGAUGCAGAAGAACCAGCCACUUGAUAAUGCUACCGAAUUCAAUGCAUUCUUUUGCAUUUAUGAAUUUCCUCAGAGAUAGAAAAAAAAUACAACUACUAAGAUGUAGGGGCCAGAAUUCACUGAAAAUCUGUCUCUUUCUCUCCAUCAUUAAAAAGAAUGUAUGUAAAAACUGGGAACAAACCACUGUUCCAAUGGGAAUAUGGAUGGCAAAACAUUAAACUCAGAUAUAAACUGAUGAUAGCGUAUAACCAUCUUGGCUAAAGUUUAAACCACUGACAAGUGGCCCCCGGCUAGUGUUAGAAGUGUGUGCGUGCUCAUGAGGGAAGUGGUAGUUUUGCUGAUACUAGUUUGAGAUACAUUAUCUGUUUUCUCUGAAUAUAACCUACUUCCUCACUCUGCCAGCCUUUCUGAGUUAAGCUCUUCAGUCUUUAACCUGCCCUGUCUGUUCAUGUGGCAGACAACUGUACAAUUUCUCAUAUGAACCAUUUAUGGAUUCUGAUCAGAACCUUAAAUACAAGUCUAGGGUACAUGUGUGUUUCAGGGGCCUGAAAGCAUAGUCAACAGGACGUCAUGAGAAGUUUGGCUCCUCCUGGGAGCAAGACCUCUACACCAUACAGAAAUAUCAGGAGAAAGAACUAGGAUCUGGAAAAAAAAAUGUUCAAUCUUGCCUUUGGGGGACAGAAAUCGGCUGUAGAAAUAAAGAGAAUUUCAUUUAAAGGCAAGAGAAUUCAGAGUUCAAUAAUACAAUGUGCUAUUAAUAAUGAAGUGUACUAGCUAUUGAAUCUGAAGUCUGCUGAGCUUUGUACCAGGCACACUGUAUGCUAUUCCAUUAACCCAGGGAGUAUUCCUCUCCCCCUCGCAGGAAUAAACAUUGGGCAAUGUCUGAAGACUGCUUUGGCUGUCAUGUUAUAGGGGUGCCACCAGCAUCUCAUGGUGGAGACCAGAGAUGCUGCUAAAGAUUCUGUGGUACGCAGGUCAAUUCCCACAGCAAAGGAUUUUCUGACUCAGAAUGUCAACAGUGCUGAGGUUGAGGAACUCUGCAUUAACCCAUCCUAAUCACUUUAUAAAGGAGGCUUCAUCAGCCUCUUGUAUAGAGGUGGAAACUGAGAGCUGUGAAGUCCCACAAUGCCCAAGUCAUAUUGCCAGGAUCUGGAUCAGGUCUACUUCACUACCUUAAACCCAUAUACCUCCUAUAUUAUCUUGAAGAUGGAAAUGACCUCAUUUCACAGGUAAGGAAACAGGCUCAGAUACCAAGUGUCUUGCCCUAUAUCUCGAUGCAACCAGUGAUUCUGUGUCCCUUCACAGUUCUUUUAAGAUCUGGGAUGAUGACUACACACAAUCGACUUCACUUCAAACCAUGAAGCUGCCAUCAAAUGUCUCUUUCUGUUGCCCAUUAACCAUGACACCCCUCACAAUUAACUUCUUGUUUUUGCUCCUUUAACCCUGUAAUCCAGCAGUUUUAUUGCUCACAUCGAAUUCACUAGCUUACUCAUUCAACCAUUAUUAAGUCCCUCCUGUAUGCUAAGCCCUGGAAAGAUUCUGGAUAUAAAUGAAUCAGAAGGCAAAUGGAGGAGAACUGCAAGUUCGAGGGUUGGCAAACUCUAGCCCAAGGGGCACCUGUUUUUGUAAAUAAAGUUUUAUCAGAACAUAACCACACCCAUUCAUUUACCUAUUGUCUAUGGCUGCUUUCACUUUAUAAAGCAGAGCUGAGGAGUUAUGACAGAUACCCUAUGGUCCCCAAAUCUAAGAUACUUCUGAUCUGGCCCUCGACAGAAAAAGUCUGCCAGCUCCUGCAUGAGCUCCAUCAUUCAAGCUACAGGAACAAGCACUGAAGUGAACGCCACACUGAAUCGAGAAGUGCUUUCUUUCAUCUCCAUAUGCAACUACAAUAACUCUCAGCAGUGGGGCGAAUCCUAAGUGUUUAACGCUAAUACAAAUCUAAGAAUCAAAAGUACCCAAACAUUUUGAUCCUUAAAAAUACUUUAUGUUUGUCUAGAGCCUAUUAUAAAUAGGUCUUCAAAUGAGGUUCAAAUGCGUAUUAUUUCUCUUUUGCUGUCAGAGGUUUGGAAAGCCUUCAGUGAUUGCUGCUCGUCACACUGAAAUGAAAACAGAGAUUGACUCCCAGCCAUUGGACUAGCUGCCCAGGCAUCAGUUAACCACAGCAGGUUGUCUGCUGGACUACAGAGGGCUCCAGGCUGAUGCUCCCCUCCACUCCUUUCAGGUGCAUAGCAAAAGACCCCAUCCUGAACUUCCCUGAGUUUUCUGCCACAAUCUUGGCCUUUGGUCUGUGGAUGAAAUUCCACUGACCUGAGUACAAGGUCUAGACAUGAACUUGGAUCAACAAGGGUCCACCCACAGCAGUGACAGCCACAGCUGAGAACAUGCACCUUCACAACCAGCAGGUGGGGUAGAGAAUUUAAACCAACAUGUUUGGGUUGAAUAUUAACUCAAAGACUGACAAAAAGAGACUCUAAAGGUUUUAUAGAGUCUCUCUUAAGGGACGGCAAAAAGAAUGAAAUUAGGCAGAUUUAUUGUGAUGGCUACAUCUGGCCCCCAAUACUCAGAGAGGACACACAUCUACAUGCUAAGACCCCAGGUCUAAUACAGAUGUGCUUUCUGUAUUCAAAAAUCCUAAAGGAUAAUGUGUCAGGUGCAAAAAAAAAUUCUCCAUGUGAGUCAUUCUCAGAUUCGGUUAAUUAAGACAAACAGGAAGUUCCCUGCUUUUAGGGAGGCUAGAAGAGGAGAAACACUACACGUAAGCAUGAAUAAGACAGGUCAUUAAAGGAGAAGUCAAAUGAGAUGGUGAAGACUUUAGUGUAAAAAAUAAGAUUAAAUCUGUAAAACUGGAUUGUCUCUUCACCAUGUCCAUAUUAGACACGGGAGCUCAGAGUAUGACAGCGCAGUCUUGGGGUGAUGAUGUCACCAUCCAGACCUCACCAGACAAGGUGGCCCAUGCUCAAGAGGGAAUAGCCCAGGCAUGGUCAGCUCAACUCUCAUUCAAUCAUAAGUUCUGGGGUAGCCCUCUGCUGCCAUUGUGGUCACAAUGGGAGAAAGAGAGAAGAAUCUGGUUCAAUGACCAGCUCAACAAUCCUGAACACAUCAGCUGAAAUCACUGUGCCUCAGUUUCCUUAUUUGAGAAACUCAUUGCUGUGUCUACAUCAAUUCCAUCAUAUAGGCCAGCUGGUAGGCUCCACAGAGACAAUGCUCUGCUGAGCAAGUCUUUGUAUGCUGCAAAGACCUACAAAGAUCUGGUUGUGAUACACUGCAUGCUUCCCUAGUGCCUCCUUGGAUACAAAGGAAAGAAGAAUGGAUAAAGGCAGCAGGCCCCCAGGAAAAGCAUUCUAAGCACUGGCUUUAUGAACUAAAGAUGCUAGACCAAGGUUUUGCUUUAGAGGCAAGGUGAUAACACUGAAAGUGUUGAAGAGUGGGGUUUGAAUUAACCCAUGGAGAAACCAACCCAUGUGUUGACCAGCUGAGUUUUAACAAGAUUCUAUUCUAUUAGUCAAUGAUAAUGACCUACACUGUAAAACAGCUAACCAGGAAUCUCCAUCCUUCUUCACGAGACUUCCAUUAAUACUUAAACAUGUCUCUCUGCUGGGCUACCUGGUAUCAUGUCAAAUUGUGAACAGAGCAAUCACAGCACAUUUGCUAGCUAGGGGGCUGACAGUCUCCACCAAAUGGCAUGCAGGCCCUGCCUUUCUGUUAACUCCCAAAUCUAAACUAUUCUCAUUUUUUUCACUCCACAUAGUAAACCUUGUAGGUACAGGAAAAGCAAUCCACUUGAUGAAUGCAUUAAUUAAGAUAAUCGAUAUACAUAUAAUCAUGGGUCAGUUCUCCCCGGCCAUCAUUCAUCACGCUCUGUGGUACCACGACUACACUUUCCAGGGUCAGUGCCAAAUUUCUAAACUUCAUACCUUGCUAUUAUCAAGAAUUGAUGAAUGCAGAAUUUCAGAAGGCAGGGACUGGGGGAAAGGGUGACAUAAACCCCAGGGUAUUCCAAGUUGCACUUACUGAAUUGAAGACACCAUCCUCAAUGGUAAAAAAAAAAAUUCAAGUUAAUCAAGGAAAAUGAACAAAUUCAUUUGUUGCAGUUGACAAGAAGCCCCAGGCUUGGCUAGGAAGAUAAUACAAGAGGUGAGCUUAUAUUAAAAGAUGCAGAGCCGCGCCUGCAUUGAAAUUCCUAUCUUUUCUUGUUCUCUUUGCAAAGAAAAGACACAACUAUUAUUCGGGAUUUAAACCUGUAUCAUCCACAUCUUUCUUCUCCUUAAGAAAGGCUCUUUGGGGGAGAAGGUCUCAGCCAACAGCUAUUCUUUGCAGGAGCCAAUCCCAACCCAGCCAAACGCCGUACUUUUUAAUAAUUUCUCGUGGUCAGUUUAACCUUAGUAGGGAAAUUAAUGUAUUUUCCCAGCAUGCUGUUAUUACAUAUUGCCACUGUCAUGUACAUCUCCGAAGGCUUCUGUAUUUGUCACUUCAUCAUCUAUUUUCCCAUUACACCUGUCUAGACCUUUAUUAUAAAAUGUAAUUAUGUUUUCAUGUCAGUCACACCUAUUAGACUGCAAGCUCCAAGAUAACUUGGUCCAUAUCUUAUUAAAUCUGUGGCCCCUGAACCUACACACCCAAUCUCUCGAGCUAAAUGGAGACAGAGUGAAGAGAGGAGGACAGGAAGAGAAGAAAAAAGAAGAAGGGGAGUGAGAGGGUAGGUAUGUAAACACAAAGACAAAGCCAUCCUCCUGGCAUGUCUUUGCGCUGCCUGGCGCCCAUAUCUCUACCCUCUUGUAGUGAGGCAGAUAGGUUCCAGGGUCAGCUGAACAUGUGGUCCCAUGCAGCAGAGGACCACUGUCUAGUGUAGAAAAAGCAUCUAAACCUUUCUAAGCCUCAAUUUCUUCAUCUGUAGAAUGGACAUUAUCUAACUCACUAUGAUAGGAAAUAUAAGUAAGAUGAAUACGUGUCAUCAAUCACAUGGCACGGAGUCUGGGAAAGUCCAAAAAAAGUGUCCCCAGCUCCUCAUGCUCCUGGAACACACUUUUCCCUAAAAACAAGUCACUCCUCUGCUAAGAAGCUCUGGGGUCCUCUGUCCACCUUCCCAGAAAGUUCAGUCCUCUCUGCGCCUCUCUUGGGCCGAAGGCAAAGAGAAGAGAGAUUCUCACACUUGAGCAUGGCUCGGCCACUGAGCUGCCCUCUUACCUCUGGCCGGACACCAGUCCAUCCUGGCUACAGCCUCCCUGGCCAUGACAAAGCAUAUUU